RNAcentral lists this ribosomal RNA (497 nucleotides) under uncultured bacterium. RNAcentral describes it as "partial 16S ribosomal RNA". It matches the Rfam family "Bacterial small subunit ribosomal RNA", at positions 28 to 507 of the family's 1533-position model. The record is from RNAcentral.
GACGAACGCUGGCGGCGUGCCUAAUACAUGCAAGUCGAACGCUGAAGAGAGGAGCUUACUCUUCUUGGAUGAGUUGCGAACGGGUGAGUAACGCGUAGGUAACCUGCCUUGUAGCGGGGGAUAACUAUUGGAAACGAUAGCUAAUACCGCAUAACAAUGGAUGACACAUGUCAUUUAUUUGAAAGGGGCAAUUGCUCCACUACAAGAUGGACCUGCGUUGUAUUAGCUAGUAGGUGAGGUAAUGGCUCACCUAGGCGACGAUACAUAGCCGACCUGAGAGGGUGAUCGGCCACACUGGGACUGAGACACGGCCCAGACUCCUACGGGAGGCAGCAGUAGGGAAUCUUCGGCAAUGGGGGCAACCCUGACCGAGCAACGCCGCGUGAGUGAAGAAGGUUUUCGGAUCGUAAAGCUCGGUUGUAAGUCAAGAACGGGUGUGAGAGUGGAAAGUUCACACUGUGACGGUAGCUUACCAGAAAGGGACGGCUAACUACGUG